Molecule: ribosomal RNA, 460 nt
Filed under: uncultured bacterium
Lineage: Bacteria
Description: partial 16S ribosomal RNA
Rfam family: Bacterial small subunit ribosomal RNA
Source: RNAcentral
CCUACGGGAGGCAGCAGUGAGGAAUAUUGGUCAAUGGACGAGAGUCUGAACCAGCCAUGCCGCGUGCAGGAUGACUGCUCUAUGAGUUGUAAACUGCUUUUAUACGAGGGUAAACCUCGCUACGUGUGGCGGGUUGUAAGUAUCGUAUGAAUAAGGAUCGGCUAACUCCGUGCCAGCAGCCGCGGUAAUACGGAGGAUCCGAGCGUUAUCCGGAUUUAUUGGGUUUAAAGGGUGCGUAGGCGGUUUGAUAAGUUAGUGGUGAAAGGUCGGGGCUCAACCCUGAAAUUGCCGCUGAUACUGUUAGACUAGAGUAUAGUUGAGGUAGGCGGAAUGUAUGGUGUAGCGGUGAAAUGCUUAGAGAUCAUGCAGAACACCGAUUGCGAAGGCAGCUUACCAAACUACAACUGACGUUGAGGCACGAAAGUGUGGGUAGCAAACAGGAUUAGAUACCCGGGUAGUC